UACGGAGGGGGCAAGCGUUGUCCGGAAUUACUGGGCGUAAAGAGCACGUAGGCGGAUCCAUAAGUUUGAUGUUAAAGGCAGCGGCUCACCCGCUGUAGGGCAUCAGAUACUGUGGAUCUGGAAUACGGUUGGGGAAGACAGAAUUCCUGGUGUAGCGGUGAAAUGCGCAGAUAUCAGGAGGAACACCAGUGGCGAAGGCGGCUUUCUGGCCCUAUACUGACGCUGAGACGCGAAAGCGUGGGGAGCAAACAGG
This 253-nucleotide ribosomal RNA is filed under the name uncultured bacterium. RNAcentral's name for it is "partial 16S ribosomal RNA". It matches the Rfam family "Bacterial small subunit ribosomal RNA", at positions 524 to 776 of the family's 1533-position model. The record is from RNAcentral.